Long non-coding RNA from Triticum dicoccoides, 1902 nucleotides. RefSeq lists it as uncharacterized. Lineage: Eukaryota; Viridiplantae; Streptophyta; Magnoliopsida; Poales; Poaceae. The transcript is spliced from 2 exons. The record is from RefSeq and is a predicted model, not a curated record.
CGGGUUCAAGUCCUGGAAACAGCCUCUUGCAGAAAUGUAGGGAAAGGCUGCGUACAAUAGACCCAAAGUGGUCGGACCCUUCCCCAGACCCUGCGCAAGCGGGAGCUACAUGCACUGGGGCUGCCCCUUUUUAACUAGAAUGGGAACCUGGGCGGUUGAGGCUCAAGUUGUCAGUUAAGUCAACCUUUUGCUGCUGGGUUUGGAAGUCGUAGUACAGAUCAUGUAAAUUAACUGCAGCCUGGGCAGGCAAUGCAAAGCAUCCAUUUAUACCCGUCAACUGCAAUCACAGUCCCAUAUAUCUAUGCUUGUAUUUCUUGCAGUUAAUUGACACCGGGUGAAAAUAUCUGAAUCGAUUGGUUUGCUUCUGUUAGCAGCACACGUACCUAGUUCUGACGGUAUGUUGAGCUUAUUCAUAUGCUGUCUAUGUCCACUACUCCAUCCCUUCCAUUUAUAAGUUCCCUCGGCGUGGAUGGACGGUGGAGAAAAUCUAGGGUGCGUAUUCAUCGCGUGGUCGUCCAUGGCCGACGAUCGGCACCCAUUAAUUUCCACGCGGCAUCAUUCAUUGCUUGUUCUUUCCAUGUUCUUCAUGCUUGUGUCUGUCCUCAGAGAUUCCGAUGAAUGAAAGUGUGCUGCGGGCCACAAGCUUCUUGCAAGCUGCUGUUCAUGGACCAUGCUGGUAACUUACUAACUUGCUUCCAUGGUCUGAUCUGUUUUCUUCCUUUGACAGUACAAAGUAGAUGACUCAACUUUAUACUAACUUUAAUACAAAGUUGAGUCAUCUAUUUUGGAACGGAGGGAGUACAACACUGCCAUUAUCCGACGAGUAUUCCCAGUAGCAUUUCCACAAUUUUUUUGUACUUGUGUAUUCUUUUUCUCUUUUCUCAAAAUAAAAAAUUCCUUCAGUCUGCGUGGAUAUCGUGUGACCAAACUGAAGUGCGAAAGUGCAUUCAGUGUUUGUACGUGGGGUCUCUGAACUGCGGAAUCUGAAGCUAGAACCAAAUCCCGAACGAGCUAAGCUUGCCUGAUCAUCCUCAUCCACAUCCGAACGAGACCUAGCUACUGAGUGGGGAUCGAAUCGGAGACCCGAGAGGAACAGUAUUCCCUGCCUGCGCUCACUGAUUGCCGUCGUACGUCGAAUGGAACCGGAGAAAGGAGUGGAUAGAGAUCACGCACCAUCCAUGUCGCCGGAAUCGCAUUCCCCGGCCGUCCUCCCACUCGACCGGCCUGCUCUUUAUAUUGCGCUCCCCCGCGCCACCUUCCUUCCCCGACACAUCACACACACAGCGACAGGGUCCUUCCUCGUGAAGCACUCUGCUCCGAGAGCCUCGACGAGGAGCUCCUCUCACAGUCCUAGGCCGGUCUCUACUGCAUGCAAUGCCAUGCCAUGAUCGGAGACAUCUUCCAGUACAUGGUGGGUGAGGAUGAACUUCCCGACGAGGAGCCGGCGUUUUUGCCGGUUGAUCGACCUCACCAUGCGCCUGCAUGCACGGCUCUUCCUCGACAGGUAGUACCACGAGGACCUGCACCUGCUCGUGCCUUGAUGAGGUUGUUCAACCAGCAAAACGCGGCGGCCCUCGGCGACGGCGGGGCUCGGCGGUGCCUAAGGCGGUCGGCGUGAGGCACUCGUCAGUGACGACCAUGCUGUUCCAAGCAUAUCUCCUGAAGCAUCGGCCAGCCGGCGUCAGCGUGCGGCGGCGACCCCAUACUCCGCGAACCUCCUUGCCGUUUACCUCUAGGGCGUGGACGGAGCGCCUCUCCACCCUUUCGCGUGGGGCGGGUGGGUAGUGGCAGGCGACGGCGAAGAGGCUUCCGGAGAUGAUACUCAUGGCGUUGACUCUUUCUUUCUUGUCUCAUUUUUGGAAAAAAAAUAUAUAUUAAUAUCGCGAAGAUACCAAUUACAAA